This 406-nucleotide ribosomal RNA is filed under the name uncultured bacterium. Its description in RNAcentral is "partial 16S ribosomal RNA". It matches the Rfam family "Bacterial small subunit ribosomal RNA", at positions 30 to 526 of the family's 1533-position model. The record is from RNAcentral.
AUUGAACGCUGGCGGUAGGCCUAACACAUGCAAGUCGAACGCGUGGCGGACGGGUGAGUAAUGUCUGGGCAACUGUCUGAUGGAGGGGGAUAACAAUUGGAAACGGUGGCUAAUAACGCAUACAAUAGGAUGUGCCCAGAUGGGAUUAGCUAGUAGGUGGGGGAAAGGCUCACCUAGGAGACGAUCCCUAGCUGGUGUGAGAGGAUGACCAUCCACACUGGCACUGAGACACGGCCCAGACUCCUACGGUAGGCAGCAGUGGGGAAUAUUGCUCAAUGGGCGCAAGCCUGAUGCAGCCAUGCCGCGUGUAUGAAGAAGGCCUUCGGGUUGUAAAGUACUUUCAGCGGGGAGGCGUUACCCGCAGAAUAAGCACCGGCUAACUCCGUGCCAGCAGCCGCGGUAAUAC